CCCUUGUACACACCGCCCGUCACACCAUGGGAGUGGGUUGCACCAGAAGUAGCUAGUCUAACCUUCGGGGGGACGGUUACCACGGUGUGAUUCAUGACUGGGUG
This 104-nucleotide ribosomal RNA is filed under the name uncultured bacterium. RNAcentral describes it as "partial 16S ribosomal RNA". It matches the Rfam family "Bacterial small subunit ribosomal RNA", at positions 1378 to 1482 of the family's 1533-position model. The record is from RNAcentral.